GACGAACGUUAGCGGCGUGCUUAACACAUGCAAGUCGAACGGAAAGGCCCUGCUUUUGUGGGGUGCUCGAGUGGCGAACGGGUGAGUAACACGUGAGUAACCUGCCCUUGACUUUGGGAUAACUUCAGGAAACAGGGGCUAAUACCGGAUAGGAGCUCCUGCUGCAUGGUGGGGGUUGGAAAGUUUCGGCGGUUGGGGAUGGACUCGCGGCUUAUCAGCUUGUUGGUGGGGUAGUGGCUUACCAAGGCUUUGACGGGUAGCCGGCCUGAGAGGGUGACCGGCCACAUUGGGACUGAGAUACGGCCCAGACUCCUACGGGAGGCAGCAGUGGGGAAUAUUGCACAAUGGGCGGAAGCCUGAUGCAGCAACGCCGCGUGCGGGAUGACGGCCUUCGGGUUGUAAACCGCUUUCGCCUGUGACGAAGCGUGAGUGACGGUAAUGGGUAAAGAAGCACCGGCUAACUACGUGCCAGCAGCCGCGGUGAUACGUAGGGUGCGAGCGUUGUCCGGAUUUAUUGGGCGUAAAGGGCUCGUAGGUGGUUGAUCGCGUCGGAAGUGUAAUCUUGGGGCUUAACCCUGAGCGUGCUUUCGAUACGGGUUGACUUGAGGAAGGUAGGGGAGAAUGGAAUUCCUGGUGGAGCGGUGGAAUGCGCAGAUAUCAGGAGGAACACCAGUGGCGAAGGCGGUUCUCUGGGCCUUUCCUGACGCUGAGGAGCGAAAGCGUGGGGAGCGAACAGGCUUAGAUACCCUGGUAGUCCACGCUGUAAACGGUGGGUACUAGGUGUGGGGUCCAUUCCACGGGUUCCGUGCCGUAGCUAACGCUUUAAGUACCCCGCCUGGGGAGUACGGCCGCAAGGCUAAAACUCAAAGGAAUUGACGGGGCCCCGCACAAGCGGCGGAGCAUGCGGAUUAAUUCGAUGCAACGCGUAGAACCUUACCUGGGUUUGACAUGGAUCGGGAGUGCUCAGAGAUGGGUGUGCCUCUUUUGGGGUCGGUUCACAGGUGGUGCAUGGCUGUCGUCAGCUCGUGUCGUGAGAUGUUGGGUUAAGUCCCGCAACGAGCGCAACCCUUGUUCACUGUUGCCAGCACGUUAUGGUGGGGACUCAGUGGAGACCGCCGGGGUCAACUCGGAGGAAGGUGGGGAUGACGUCAAGUCAUCAUGCCCCUUAUGUCCAGGGCUUCACGCAUGCUACAAUGGCUGGUACAGAGAGUGGCGAGCCUGUGAGGGUGAGCGAAUCUCGGAAAGCCGGUCUCAGUUCGGAUUGGGGUCUGCAACUCGACCUCAUGAAGUCGGAGUCGCUAGUAAUCGCAGAUCAGCAACGCUGCGGUGAAUACGUUCCCGGGGCU
Molecule: ribosomal RNA, 1346 nt
Filed under: uncultured bacterium
Lineage: Bacteria
Description: partial 16S ribosomal RNA
Rfam family: Bacterial small subunit ribosomal RNA
Source: RNAcentral